This 1560-nucleotide long non-coding RNA is filed under the name Piliocolobus tephrosceles (Ugandan red Colobus). Its description in RNAcentral is "lncRNA (ENSPTEG00000009957.1)". Lineage: Eukaryota; Metazoa; Chordata; Mammalia; Primates; Cercopithecidae. The record is from RNAcentral.
AUGUCAAAAGUAAUACGAAACAUAAAAUGUGGUACAAGUUGGAAUAGCAUAAAAAAUAACUUUGAUGAUAACAAAACAGUGAAUUCGUUACUUUUUUUUUCACAAAGGAAGUACAAUAAACUAUUUUUUUCUUCGGCAACUGCUGAGGCUGAAACAACAGUUCGUAGUAAACCAUAUAUUAAUAACAAUGUACCAUCAAUAAAUUUUUUAGAUUCACAAGAACUUAAAAUAGUUAACAACAGAAAAAUAACAUUUGUUAGUACAUUUGAAGAUAGAAUAAACGUAUUUUUAAAGCCGUUACAAAAUUCAACUGAGAUCUAUAAUAAAUUGGACUGUAGAAUUAUUAAAACAGAUGAAAAUAACAAUCAGCAUGAGGACACAUAUGAUACCACGUUUAAUAGUAACAAAGCAGAAAGUAUUUAUAACAACAUAGAAAAUAUUGAUAGUAACAAAUUCGCGUCUAUUUAUACUGAUAAAGGUAAUGAGGUAUCACUUAAUGAAGAAGGUGAUGGAAAAGAAAAUGUGUAUGGUGGAGCUGAUGAAAAAGAUAACCUACCCAGUGUCAAGUUUUGUUCGAAAUAUCUGCAAGUCGAUCGGUUUAAUGCCAUACGAUAUGAAAAUCACAACUAUAUAUACGAGUUCGAAGUACAAAAUAUUGGAGAAUUAAGUAAAUACGAACCAGGUACUGCAGUAAAUAUAUAUUUUGAUAAUAAAGACACUAUAGGCAUCGGAUUGUUAAACAGAAAGAGUAAUAUUAUAAUUAGGAUUAUAGAAAGAGAUAUAUCCAAAACGAUAAAUGAUAUUUUUUUUAUAAAAAAAUUAUAUGAAAGUAUUAAAAGAAGGUUUUCAUAUAUAUAUAAUAUAAAUUUAUAUAAAUAUAUGCACUCAUUUCAUGCUAAAAAUAAUAUUGCUUUUUAUUGCAAUUUUGUUAAUUCUAUUAACGAUGAAUUAGAUGGAUUAAAUGUUUAUGUUUUUAAUAAAACCUUAUAUAUAAGAUAUGAUAACUUGGCUAUACAAAAAUAUAAUUAUAUUUUUGAAAGUGAACUAGAAAAAAUAUUUACUCCUAAAAAUAUAUAUUGUAAAAAGAUUAUAAGUAAAAAAGAAAAAAGGGCACAAAAAGGUAAAGAAUAUGUACUUGAACAUAUCAAAGGAAAUGAUUUAGAUGUCACUUAUUCUACAAACAAUGUUACUUUUUAUAAUAACAUAACAAACAUAUCAUACAACAUUUUUAACAUCAUAAAUAAACAAGAUAUAAUUUUUUUAAAAAGUAUAAUAAACGGUAUUAACGUUUUAAAUAUAAAUGAAAAUGUAGGUGAAUAUACAAUUAUCACAUCUUUAACUAAUAAAAAUGUACACAACAAGGAAUCAAGUUCUGAUAAUCAUGUUACAAUUAUUUUAUCAGAUUCUGUUAAAAAUGCUAGUUAUGUGGAAAAAAAUAUUUCUGUUAACAACUGUAAAAACGUUACAUCACUAUAUCGGGAAGGUAAACAAAACGAGGAGCUGUACUGUGUCUGUGUGUUCGUUGUAUAUACACGCAAAAAUGUGCAUACGCAUGUAUAG